UACAGAGGGUGCAAGCGUUAAUCGGAAUUACUGGGCGUAAAGCGCGCGUAGGCGGCUGUCUAAGUCGGGUGUGAAAGCCCCGGGCUCAACCUGGGAACUGCAUUCGAUACUGGACGGCUAGAGUAUGAGAGAGGGAGGUAGAAUUCCACGUGUAGUGGUGAAAUGCGUAGAUAUGUGGAGGAAUACCGGUGGCGAAGGCGGCCUCCUGGUUCAAUACUGACGCUGAGGUGCGAAAGCGUGGGGAGCAAACAGG
RNAcentral lists this ribosomal RNA (253 nucleotides) under uncultured bacterium. RNAcentral's name for it is "partial 16S ribosomal RNA". It matches the Rfam family "Bacterial small subunit ribosomal RNA", at positions 524 to 776 of the family's 1533-position model. The record is from RNAcentral.